GACGAACGCUGGCGGCGUGCUUAACACAUGCAAGUCGAACGGUGAAGCGCCUUCCUUUUUGGUGGGUGUGGAUGAGUGGCGAACGGGUGAGUAACACGUGAGUAACCUGCCCCCUUCUUCUGGAUAACCGCAUGAAAGUGUGGCUAAUACGGGAUAUUCUGGGUCUGUCGCAUGAUGGGUCUGGGAAAGAUAUUGUUUCGGUGGGGGAUAGGCUCGCGGCCUAUCAGCUUGUUGGUGGGGUGAUGGCCUACCAAGGCGGUGACGGGUAGCCGGCCUGAGAGGGGGGAGGGGGACAGGGGGGAUGAGCCACGGCCCAGACUCCGAGGGGGGGCAGGAGUGGGGAAUGUUGCAAAAUGGGGGAAAGCCUGAGGAAGGGGCGCCGGGGGGGGGGUGGAGGCCUUCGGGGGGGGAGACUCUUUCCGAGGUGAAGAAGGCCUGCCUCGGUGGUGGGUGGGUGGAGGGUAGUGGGAAAAAAAGCCCGGGUAAACAUGGG
RNAcentral lists this ribosomal RNA (493 nucleotides) under uncultured bacterium. RNAcentral's name for it is "partial 16S ribosomal RNA". The stretch from base 13 to 382 matches the Rfam family "Bacterial small subunit ribosomal RNA", at positions 40 to 399 of the family's 1533-position model. The record is from RNAcentral.